This 253-nucleotide ribosomal RNA is filed under the name uncultured bacterium. RNAcentral describes it as "partial 16S ribosomal RNA". It matches the Rfam family "Bacterial small subunit ribosomal RNA", at positions 524 to 776 of the family's 1533-position model. The record is from RNAcentral.
UACGUAGGUGGCAAGCGUUGUCCGGAAUUAUUGGGCGUAAAGGGCGCGUAGGCGGUUCUUUAAGUCAGAUGUGAAAACCCGAGGCUCAACUUCGGGCGUGCAUUUGAAACUGGAGGACUCGAGUGCAGGAGAGGAAAGUGGAAUUCCUAGUGUAGCGGUGAAAUGCGUAGAGAUUAGGAGGAACACCAGUGGCGAAGGCGACUUUCUGGACUGUAACUGACGCUGAGGCGCGAAAGCGUGGGGAGCAAACAGG